RNA transcript from Bacillus rossius redtenbacheri, 1917 nucleotides. RefSeq lists it as uncharacterized. Lineage: Eukaryota; Metazoa; Arthropoda; Insecta; Phasmatodea; Bacillidae. The transcript is spliced from 5 exons. The record is from RefSeq and is a predicted model, not a curated record.
AAACCGUGGUCGCGCAUUAAUAAUGUUAAUAGUCACUUGUUUGUUUUCUCUUUCAGCCGUUUGUCUGCAGUUACGCCAUAUUGCAGUGUGUUUUAAUAUAUUACUGACCGUGAAAUAACGUACAGUUUGUGUUUCAGGAUUUUGUGUUAAUAUUGUGUAUUUUAACUUUGUUAUAUUAUUUAUUAUCUACUAUUGUAAUGAUGGAAUUUGUUAUCGUUUUGAUAUUUUGUGUGGUUCUUGUGAUUGCUGUAAUGGUAAUUGGUUCCGGGAUGGGGAAAGUUACUUCUUCGCAGCGUCAGAUGGACAUCAUUAACGUCGCUCAGAACUUAUAUGUUUUAAUUAGGAAAGGCGACUUGAAGAAAUGUGACGUUACGCAGACGACCGCGUUUCUUCUCAACAUCGCAAAGUCAACUGUUCUCAAGUACUACAAGAAAGACAUUGAAGAAGUUUCAACACCAGGAAAAAAGAGGAAAAAAAGGCCACAGGAAGGAAAGUCACUUGACACAGUCGACGAUUUCACAGUAAAUGCAAUCAGGAAUGCAAUUUACAGGAUGUACGCUGAAGGUUUGAAUGUUACAGUCGACACCAUUUUGAAAGAAAUCAGGGAAAGACAAAUAGAUUAUUAUGGUGGAAGAUCAAGUCUUCAUAAAUUGUUAAAGAAGAUGGGAUUUUCAUGGACAACUGUUGAUGGACGAAAAGCUUUGAUAGAGAAUGAAAACAUAGUAUUGCAGCGAAUAGAUUUCUUGAGAAAGCAUAAAGAAGAAAAAGAAAGAGGUGCCAAUUUCAUAUUUGUUGAUGAAACAUGGAUUUUCCAGAGAGGCAAGGCAUUAAUUUAUUUGAAAAUUUGUUCUGUGGUCCAAUACAAAGUAUUUCAUUUCCAUUUCAUAUAUUUUUCAGGAACUGUAUCAAAGUCAUGGCAGGACAAGAGUCUACAAUCUGCGAAGAGACGUACUGUUGGAGAUGGUAAAAGGUUUAUUGUUGUUAAUGCUGGAGGGCGCACUGGCUUUGUGCCAGGAGCAGGAUUACUUUUUGUUUCAGGUCAGAAGACUGCAGACUACCAUGGCGAGAUGAAUGGGGAAACUUUCUUGAUGUGGUUUGAAGACAUGUUGGUGCAUCUUGAGGAACCCAGUGUCAUCAUAAUGGACAAUGCUUCAUAUCACAGCACCCAGGUUGAGAAAACACCUACAACGAACUGGACCAAGGAUGCACUGAUCGCGUGGCUGGAGAAGAAUGAGAUAAAACAUGAAAAUAAUUUGUUGAAAGUGGAGCUGCUGAGAAUAGCUAAACAAAACAAGCCCCGAAUACGGUAUAUUAUUUCGUUUUUUUUACAGCAUUUCUUUAAAAGUGAGAUAGUUGCAAAAAAUUACGUAUACGCCUUGUUCUAACACACUUUUCAGAUAUGAGGUAGACGAGUUGGCUCGUAACUAUGGCCACGAAAUUCUACGACUCCCACCCUAUCACUGCCACUAUAAUGCAAUCGAACUAGUUUGGGCUCAAUGUAAACACCAUUACAAUAGUAACGUGGGGCGGGCCAAGAGAUUUGACAAUGAUGCAGUUGCAGCCAUCUGGAAAGAGGCUCUUGAUGCUUCCACACCAGAGAGAUGGGCGAGGUGUGUGGAUCACGUGGAGAAGCUAAUUCAAGCAGACUGGGAGAGAGAAGUCCACAUAGACAGCGGCACCAUUCCUCCACUCAUCAUCCACCUCGGCAAGGAUAGUUCAAGUGAAGACAGUGACAGCGAAGAAUUUGAGGUUACGACACAGCAAGUAGAUGGAGACAGUGAAGUACUGGCAGUUCCUCUUGAUGAUUUACCCGGGUGUUCUUAUUGAGGUCUGUAUGUAAUAAACACCUGGGCAACUGUAAGUAUUGGGGUUUGAAACAUUUUUUUUUCUUUUAUGCAUUCCCAUUAAGUAUGUUGA